RNAcentral lists this unclassified non-coding RNA (336 nucleotides) under Hevea brasiliensis (rubber tree). Lineage: Eukaryota; Viridiplantae; Streptophyta; Magnoliopsida; Malpighiales; Euphorbiaceae. The record is from RNAcentral.
AAAAAAGGGAAGCUCUGUAAAUGGCAUUUUCUUUUAGGAGAAUGUUUUGCAUGAUAUCAAUUUUUCAAGAAGGUAAUAGGGAAGUAGCAAACGUGAUAUUCAUUUCUUUGUGACUGGAUGUUUGUGUUUAAUGUGUGAACUUGGUAAUGUGCGUGUGCUUUGCUAAAUUUUGAUGAGUGAUACGUUCCUAUUUGAUUGUUUGAUUCUUGUUAUGCAACAUAGGGAAUAAGGGGAAAAAAUAAUGUUAAUGAUUUUCCUUGUUAGAGUUGUUUCUACACAUCUUUUAGCUCUUUCUUUUUAAAAAAAGGAAAGAAAAAAGAAAAAAGAAAAGAAAAU